AUUGAACGCUGGCGGCAGGCCUAACACAUGCAAGUCGAGCGGAGCGGCGGACGGGUGAGUAAUGCCUAGGAAUCUGCCUGGUAGUGGGGGAUAACGUCCGGAAACGGGCGCUAAUACCGCAUCCUAUCAGCUGAGCCUAGGUCGGAUUAGCUAGUGGGUGGGGUAAAGGCCUACCAAGGCGACGAUCCGUAACUGGUCUGAGAGGAUGAUCAGUCAAAAUGGGACGGAGACACGGUCCAGAACCCUACGGGAGGCAGCAGGGGGGAAGCGUCCGCAAUGGACGAAAGUCUGACGGAGCAACGGCGCGUGAGUGAUGAAGGCCUUCGGGUUGGAAAGGUCUGUUAAGCGGGACGCGGUACCGGAAUAGAAAGCCACGGCGAACUACGUGCCAGCAGCCGCGGUAAUAC
RNAcentral lists this ribosomal RNA (407 nucleotides) under uncultured bacterium. RNAcentral's name for it is "partial 16S ribosomal RNA". It matches the Rfam family "Bacterial small subunit ribosomal RNA", at positions 29 to 526 of the family's 1533-position model. The record is from RNAcentral.